Vicia villosa (hairy vetch) is the source of this 2640-nucleotide long non-coding RNA. RefSeq lists it as uncharacterized. The transcript is spliced from 6 exons. The record is from RefSeq and is a predicted model, not a curated record. Lineage: Eukaryota; Viridiplantae; Streptophyta; Magnoliopsida; Fabales; Fabaceae.
CUCUAACUCACCUCUAUCAAAUUCUAGAGAGAGAGAAACAAACACAAGUUCUAGAGAGAGUGCAUAGGAACUUGAUUUUCCGUUUGUGAUGUUUUUGGUGAUAAGGAGAGGUUCCUGCAUCUAUAAACUGUAGACUGGGAGUGGGAGUGAAGUUUCUGUAUGAUUUGUACAAGAAGAAUCAUGGAGGCAUCCUUGUAGAUGACAUGUGAGUUACACUAUAAUACAUACUUCAAAUCUCAAGCACAAUUAGGGCUGUUAUCGGUCCGGUCCGAGUAUUUGCUAUCCCGAGAACCGGACCAGAAUAGUAAUCGGGUAUAUUCGGACCGGACCGAAACAGUAAUGGACAAUUUUUUCGGACCGAAACCGGACCGUUACUUCGGAUAUCCGAUAAAAGUAUCCAAUAAAUAUCCAAUAAAGUAUCCAUUUUUGAUAUCGGAUGAAAAAAUAACCAUUCCCGGACCGAGUAACAUUUGGACUGGUCCAUAGGUCCGGUUCUCGGAUCCAGAGGUCCAAUAACAUCCCUAAGCACAAUCCUCUAUUGGUAUAAUUUGGAAAUUCUAAUGGACUAAGAACGAUCUUAUAUAAAACAUUAUGAUGGAAUUUUCUUAGUUUUAUGCUUUUAUAUGAAGAUUUACGUAUUCAAAAAUAUGAUAUAAAUUUUAUUAAUUAUUAGGGUUACACAUAGAUUUUGUUUUGUUUGAAUAUUUUGGAUAUUGGGAAAAUGAACCGUGAAUAAUGAAUUCAACGUUUGGAUUGGAGGGGUUUAGUUUUCGAUAUAGCUGGAAUUUAGUUUUUGAUUUUAUUGAUGUUAAUAUAGAUUUUAUUUGCUUAAUUGUCUUGAUUUUAAUGUCUACCUUGAAAAUUUCAAAUUUCAUAACUUUCAUGCGGGUGUUGCUUGGGAUGUUGGCUUGUUCUCUAUCCUUGAAGCGGAAGCGUUGGCGUUAAAAGAAACUAUCCAAAGUGCUUUAGCCCUCCAUCUUGAUCAUGUUAAUUUCGAGGGUUAGUAAGGCAAAAGGAUAAAUAAUCAAUAUAUUAAAAUGAUGUUAGACUAUCCUUUAGAAGCCUACGUUGAUGCCAGGUAUUAAAAUGGUGGCUCAAUCACUUAUAACUUACAAAAAAGAUGGGAAGUAUCCUCAUGUCUCUCAUAAAUCUAAUGGAGUAUGCAAAAGACAGCUUUCGAAGAUUGGGGUAGCCAAUGAAGUGGAACAUUUAGAUCUAUCAAGCCAAAUAUCUUGUGAUAUGGUGAAUCUUCAAAAGCAUGUGACAAUGAAGAACACCAAAUUCCUUCCAAUAUAGAUCCAUAUGAGGGGAAGAACGGUCCCUCAUUCAAUGGUUGUGCAGAGUCAGUAGUAGAAACGGAUUAUUUUCUAGUUUAUGUUCACGCAAUGUUAGAUUCAGAUGCGCUAUUAGCUUAUUUUAACAGGCCUGGCGAUAACCUAUUUGAUGGAGGUACCCAUUUGAAACUAAUACUCAUUAAAAUAUUUUAUUUUAUUCCAAUAUAAAAAAAAACUAAUUGAUGUGAUCUUUGUAUAGUUAAUGGGGAGGAAAUUAAUACACCUCUUGAUCAAUUGGACGCCAAUAACUUUUCCAUUUUCUAAACGCCUGACAUGACAUACUAGACUUCUAUAUGGAUGAACCAUGUCUUAAUUUGUGGAAAAGUUAUGCAUCAAAAUUAUGAGUCGUUUGAUAAUUCCAAUAAGUCAUUAAUACUAUUUUCCUAUUCUUUACUUAAGUAUUUAUUAUACUUUCUUCUUUCUCUUCUUUAAAUUUAUCUUUCCCAUAUCUUUAAUGAUAGACAAUUUUGUAAAACCCUUUAUAAUUUAUACUCCCUCCGUCCAAUAAGGAUUACAUUUCUUAUUAUGUGUGAAAAAACAAAAAUAACUUAUUGUGUAAAAAAGAAAAAUUAUGAAGGAGUUUACAAAAUUGUCUUUCACUAUUGGUACGAGGAAGAUAUACUAACAUAAUUCAAAGAAGAGUGGAUAUAAUUGGGAAAAUAGUAUUGAUGGUUUAUUGGUAUUGUAAAACGGCCUCUAAUUUGAUACAUAAUUUUUUUGAUUUUGUUGAUGGUAAUAUAGAUAUUAUUUGUUUAAUUGUCUUGAUUUAAUGUUGUUGCACCCCAAUUUUUGACCUCUGAGAUCCCAUCAUUUUUCUAAGUAUCAUGAUCAUUAUCAUUAUCAUUUAUCAUCAUGCAUAUUUUUAUUUACUAACAAAAAAAUAUAAAAAAAAGUUUGUUGCUUGAGUGUCAAAAACAGGAGAAUGAUCAAAAGAAAGCUGAAGAAAUUAGGUUUUUGAGUCCCACAGGAGGUUCAACAUUCUCUCAAGACUCAAAGGUUCCUUCAAUCAAUAUUCAAGUCCAAGGAUGGCUCAGUUUAAGGCAGACAACUCUCCAGAUCGCCUGAAGCACCAAAUUAGGGUUUUGACCUAAUUUCACUAGAGGAUUGACUUUUAAUCAGGAGAUGAUUCCAAGACUCAAAUUAUGAUUCAAAGGCCUUCAAAUCAACAUUAUAGUCCAUUCAUGUCAUUCAAUUGAGAAGAAGACCUUGAUUCAUUAAAAGAUCGCAAAACUGUUGUUCAUCUAAAAAUAGUCAACUGCAGUAAAAAAUCAAUAUUUUUUGUCAACAUCAAUCAUUGGAAGUAAUA